RNAcentral lists this ribosomal RNA (17 nucleotides) under Schizoglossum cordifolium. RNAcentral describes it as "partial 26S ribosomal RNA". The record is from RNAcentral. RNAcentral also lists the same sequence under 1 other name. Lineage: Eukaryota; Viridiplantae; Streptophyta; Magnoliopsida; Gentianales; Apocynaceae.
GCGACCUCAGGUCAGGC